Molecule: long non-coding RNA, 4608 nt
Organism: Glossina fuscipes
Lineage: Eukaryota; Metazoa; Arthropoda; Insecta; Diptera; Glossinidae
Exons: 5
Source: RefSeq, a predicted model, not a curated record
CAAUAGCGAUUCAAAAUAUAGAAUUGCGCAAUGUAAUUUACCACUAUUUACAGCAAAUUAGGCUUUACUAAGUUCUAAUAAUCAACUAAAACAAAUAAAUUAAGAAACAUUUGUAGAAAUAUACAAACAUACGAAAAUAACAUGUCCGCAAUGAACGCGCAGUGUUGUUAAAAAUUUUCAUUUUUCGAAACGAGAUAAUCUGCUUAAAAGACCUAUUAAAUGUCUCAAGAAAAUUAUUUUAUCGCAAAUGUUAUUAUUCAAGAGAAUAUGUUUCCUGUUUCUGCAUCACAGUGAUGGUCACGAAGAAGUGAGGAAAGGGAGCUAGGGAUGUUGUGAUCGCAACUUGCUGGAUGUCUACCCAAUCAGCAAAUGUUAUGCCUUUACUUGAGAUUUGAAGACGCAAACACUGAAUUGGUAGUCACAAUUGUCAACUAUACGUUUACUACCGCGGGGAAUUGAUGUGAGGCUGCCGUCCAACGCCUAGAGAGAUGGCUGAGCCCCUCAUAAGCCGUAUUUUGUGUUUGUGUCUUGUGCUAUGGAAAUCAUUCUCAACUUGUUCGAGGGUCGGCCGAAUUUUAAGAAGAACAAGACUAGAGAGUAGGCCUGGUUAAAUGGAGUUGGAAUAAAUUCGGCAAACGGAAUAAUCAACUGAAUAUGCUUGUAGUUUGUUGAAUCUUUUUAACUGCUACAAUUGGAAACAAGUAGUAAUGACCAUACCGGUGUUACAUGUAAAAGGACUUGAGAUAAGUUUUGAUUUACGAAAUUGAUGUUUUUGAUAAAAGCUGUUGCUUAAUUUUUUGAGGCCGUAUGCAAGCAUGUUUUGGUAUUUAGUUUCUUUUGUUGUCUUGUGUCUUUUAUUUAUUUAUUAAUUUCAAUUAAAUUUGUUACAUUCGUUUGGAAAUUGAAACAUACUGCACACCAAGAUGGAUGUGAGCAUAUGCUGUGUAAAGACAAUUACUGCGGUUGAUUUCCUUUCAUAUAUUGUCACUAGCUUAACGAUAAAUGGUGACGAAAGCUCACUUAUAUACAUAUGAUGGGAAGCAAUCAGUCAUAGUGUCAGUUGCAAGUAUGUUCAUUAUUAUUACUAAGCAGAAGUGUAUGCGCUUGAAAGAAGACACCAGGGACAGAGCAAUUUCCAAACAUAAACACACAAACAUUAAGGAAAAAGCGUCCAUCUUUAAAAAUUUAAUUUCGAAUGAUGUCAAGGCGUAAAAUACUCUAUAUUUACAAAUUUUAUAAAAACAUUCCAACCACAAUAUAUUAGAUUUAAUGUUGUUCAUUGUGAAAUUCGCAAAUACGCCUCAAAGGCCCUAUAGAUAUUUAUAUAUUGGUAGGUACAUAAUCUCUAUUGGCUCGGGAUAAGGACAGUCUAUCCAUCUACUCGCCUACUUUGUGUUGUCGAAUAAUACAAACUUGCAAAAGUACAAAUUGUUCAAGCAUGCCAUACAUACUUUGAAGUUGAAAGUUUCGAUGGAUAGAAAGUUGUGUUGUCUAAAAGAACUUAAGCUUAUAAUCUUUAAAUGAUUUUAAUCUACACAUAUCUUAUAUACCAAUGCCGAGAGAAAUAACUUUUUAAGGCCUAUGUAAAAAAUUUGUACGCCCAUGAUUACCAAAACAAUUCACGUAUUAGUUUAGAGUAAAAAGUUCGCCGUAACGCAUUUAUAGCUUUUUACAGCACAAUAAUAUCCCUCAUAGCUAUUAUAACACAUCACUGUGCCCACUCUUUGCUAACAUACUAUCUUCAGGUGAUAUUUACUUUUAUUUAUUUAUUUAAAAUUGGUUACAAGACCCGAACUCUGAACAAUAAAUAGAAGAAACUCCUAAACUGCUAAAAGGAACUUGUAAAACUACUACUAACAAAAAGAUGCAAAAUAAUGCUAAUAAUACCAAUGCAAAAACAUUAUAUAACUCUAAUCUUCUAGUGCGCAUUUAAUGAUUUAAAUAAUUACAUUAGCCAGCAUGACAUAAACAGUUCAUUAAAUACCACAGUUUCCAAUUUGUAACUAUAUGCAUUAUAAUAACAGUCUAUUUUUAAUUUUGCUAAUAGAAUCGAUUCACUGAUCAAAGAAAUAAUAAUUCCAGUUAUAAAACCAACAUAGCAAGCUACACAAACUAAACAGUAGAAAUUAGUGCGUCAAUGACAAAGUCACAAGGGCAUAUAGCGUUGGGAAGAUCGGUUCGGAACAUUGAAUUCGACAAAGUUUACUAGGUAAGCUGAGGGAAGCCAGCCCCGAAUCAAUUUAACCAUAAAAACCAUCCCGAACAUGUCUCAUCCUCUAACCCAGUGACGGUAGUCGCUUCAUGUUAAAUCUGUUUUCAUAUGGUGGAAGAAUUCUAGCGGGGUCUCACGGCAGAUCGCGUAAAGCAAAGAGAAGAAAAUUUCCCUGAACAAACUAUAUUCGAUCGACGUGACAUUAGUAAUAAAGUGUCCAAACAACGGCAGAAUAUUUCAAAAUCGGGCGAACAAGCGCAGUGUACAGACGUUUGCAAACAUAUGGAUCAUCAAGUUAUUUAGCUCGUCUCUCAAUAAAACCCAAAAUCGACUUAGCCUUAUUAACGGAAAACUAAAUCUAAGGCCAAUGAAAUCAAAUAAAACACCCAAAGCUUUAAAGCAAAAUACAUUCUCCAGCACAUGACUAUUAAUAGAAUAAUAAGUAGGCAGUGGAAACACCCAAGAGAAUGAGAUUUUCCUGCAUUUACUAAAAUUACACGACACACUGUUGGUAGGAAUACCAAACGUUCAAAGAUGAUAAAUCAUAUUGUAGCCCAUCAGCGUCGUGCACUAAGUUAAUUAAAGUAAAAAUUUCCACGUCAUCUGCAAACAUAAGAGUUUUAGAAAAGCGGACUCUUGAACGAAGAUCGAUAACGUAUAAAAUAAAUAACAUAGGCUUCCGAAUAGGAGCCAACGAGUUAGUAAUAUUGAUUUGCCUUUAAGGAAGCCAUAUUGACAUGGUGAUAACACUGAAUUUAUUGUCGGCUGUAAUCUCGCAGGUAAUAACUCAGGUAGGACACUGAGUUUCAUAAUGCUUUCAUAAUUAUUGGUGCUGUCUCUAGAGCCAUUCUUAUAGAAGAGAAUAACAAAACUAGUUUUCCACGCUAAGGGAAAGUAAGCAAUCUGAAGGCAGUAGUUAAAAAUAUACAUAAAGCGAGUACAACUACGCUGAGCUAUGUUAUACAUGAUUUCGCAUUCCAUACAUCAAUUUAUAUCAGAGCAGAAGUCCUUAUACGGAUGAUGGCAAAUGGCAAAUGGAAACGUAAUUGAGUGCUAUGGAGAGGAGGCUAAUCUUCCAGAUUUACAAUAUAGCUUAUGUUUUGAAUUUAACGCGAUGAACUUAUUGAAUUACGAGCUUCUCGAACACAAGAAACCAUUGUUGAAGAACGCAAGGGAUUGAGAUUUUGCAACACCUAUCAGGAAAAGUUAUUAAACUUGUUAGUUGAUUUAUCAACUCAAGUGACAUAAACUGAAGUCUGGACAUUCGCUAUAUUACACAAGACCGGUGCUGUGCAAGCGAUGAACGAAUGUUUGUAACUAACAAAAGGAGCCGAAAUAAACAUGGACUACUAAAUCUGAAGAUCUGUAAUAAUCAAAAAUUUCCAUAAGUAGGCGUUGAAGUCAGUACUUAGAAUAAGCUGGAGGUAACAACAAUUAGGAAUGGUAUGUACCUUUCAGACGAGGUACGUUCAUAAGCGGGCUCAAUAGGGCCAUCAUCACAUGAAAUGAAUAUUAUUCGAUUAAAGAAUAAAUCUUUAAUUUCAACUUACAAUAAUAUGAGCAGAGGCAAAAUGUUGAUAUAGAUGGAGAAGAAAGAAUGAAAAGUAAGGAAAGAUACCAGUUGCCUAAUCGCUCGCACAAAGAAUGCCAUAUAUUCGCAGCAGUGAUUCGCGAUUUAUGUCGCUGCUGCGAUCCGUUUUACGUUACGCGACGCUAGAAACUAAUGUGAUUAAUAAGCACAAAUGGGGAACUAAAGCCACUAUUAUGUUUACAAAAGAAAGAAAACAGAUGUUUUACAGCUUAAACGUCUUUUAAUACAGGAUAUUUUAAGUUUGUGCGAAUGCAUACAAAAUCCACGAGGACGUGAAACAAACACAGUCUUUCCGAAUGUCUGUCUAAUGUCGGUCCAUGAACUUUGAAUUCAGCCUACAAGUGCCAAGUUUUCAGACAUUUUAAUGAAUUUUUGGGUAUAGGACGUACACUAUUGAAAAUGAUUCGUACGGGGCUACCCCUGCAACCAGAAGAAGAAAUAUUUUCAAAUUUUCGCGAUAAAUAAUCGCUGAGUAAUACACAUUCGGUAUCCUAAAUUCAUGUGAAACAUUUGUGCUGAAGGGGAAAGUCUCCUUCUUACGGGAAAUGAAUCUGUAUAUGAUAAAAAGGGCUAUUUUUCAACGAUUUUCACCGAGAACUCAUCCAUAAUAAUAGCCUUAAAACAGGCCAAGUAAAUUAAGUUUUGUAAAUUCAAACACCAUCAGUUGCGGUUUUGUGCAUGCUCUAAUUUGCUGGCUGUCACGAAAAGUAAGCCAUUGCAUCAUCGAAAGAUGAGCGGUAUAUUCAUUUCGUCAAUACAAUGACCACAAGGAAGCUUCAGAGACCCCACAAAGUAUAUAUAUUCU